UGAAAUGGUUGAUGACGAUAACGCACACGUCUCCCCGCACAUCCCGACCUUUCCUCUUUGAUAAUACCCCUAUUGCAAUGACUCAUAUUGAUUCAGCCUCGUGUGUUACGACCGUUGGAUUUAUGAAUGAUGACCCGAGGAACCACUUCCCGUGCGAGGAAGAGAGAGAGAGAGAGAGAGAGAGAGAGAGAGAGAGAAGGCUAGUUUACAAACAUCGUGCAUCUCAGCCCGAGGAACCAGCGAAUCCACCGCGACUAUGUAAUCCACCACAUCCUUGACUGCUGCGACCUUGUGGUGUACAUUGGAUGACACGGCAGCGAAGUUUUUAUUUUGAUCAGCUUGUAAAUAUCUUGAUAGCUAAAUCUGAUCAGCUUAAUGUACAUAGGAUGACAUGACAGCUCCUGCUUGCUGCUGUCUUGUUAAUAUUACUGAAACUGAAGCUGUUGUUCAGAUUUAGUGACAGAUUAGUUUGAAAUUGAAAGCUACUGUGGAUUCUGCUGUCUUUUUUUGUGAUGUCUCUCUGUAUUUGCAGCUGGUGUUCACAGGUUGUAUAAGAAGUGAAUACAAUAUUGUACUUUGGUGUCUGUUGUUAAAGAAAUCGCAUCUGGAAUACGAUUUGUCAGUUGUCAAUGUUCCUGGGGCUAUUGGAACAUCUUCAGAAGCCGUGUUUUUUGGGCACUGACCGGAGCUUUGACAGUUUGCUAUGCUGAUUUAAUAUCUUCGAAGGAUUUGGGCCAAGUAUCACACACUGAUCCACCAAGGUUUGUUGUCUCCUACUUGUUACGUGCCAGCUUGUCAGUUUUGAUUACUAAGGCCUUUGAGUGAUGAACAUGUUGAUAGCGAGCAGUUGGAUAUAGCUAGCUAUAAUGUUCGAAAUUCAGGGUCUGAUAUUCUGGAUCUGUUGGAACUUUAGAUCAUCAAUGACAGAUAAAAAGAGUCUUCAACUGCUCAGGAUUUUUAAAACUACUAAGUUGUUGGGCAGGUUCGAGAUAACAGCUCAUCUUAUACUCCCUCCAAGUCACAACAGAAGCAAGAUGCUCCUGAUUUACCUAGAUUGUCAGUGAGUUCAUGUUCUUCAGUUUGGUUUAUGUUCUUUUUUGGUCAUGUUACAAAUCCUUCCAGCUCCUAUUUACUUGUUCUGCACUUAGUAUUACUGGAUGGGAUGUAAGCGACCUAUGAUCCUCAAACUGGACACAAUAUUUUAGACCAGCAGUCGAUGAAUCUGCUAGUGGCCUUGGGCACCCAGGAGGUGAAAUUGAAUUUGUUAACUGUAAAGCAAUCAUGAUGACCCUCCCCGCAACACUUGUAGUUAUGAUUAUACUUGUAUGCUCAGAUAAGGAUAUGUACCUGCAAUUUUUUAUAACUUGGGUUUUAUCACAUUUGAUAUUGUAACUCCACAUCUAUUCUAGUGUUUUCUAUGACCUACAUGUCAUGCUUUCCAUCUGCAACUCCUCGGUUCACAUGCCACAAGUAGCAUUUCUACAUCGUCAAUUCCAAUGUUGCAGCAAGCACAACAGCCACAGCAUGUUUCACAGAUGCACCCCCAAGUUCAUGUUUCCCAUUUUGCUAAUCUUAUGCCAUACAGUCAUUUGCUCCCCCUAUCUAUGUUCCUCCAAUGAGUAUGCCUAGCUAUUCUAGUAACCCUGCCUAUCUCCAUCCCUCCACUGGAAGCAAUUACUUGCUGAUGCCUGGAGGUAGCUCCCAUCUUAAUGCGGAUGGGGUUUAAGUAUGGAAUCCAGCAAUUCAAGACUGUCCAACAGGAAGUACUUCAGGUUUAAGGAUUUUUACUAGUCUGACUGGCUAUGCAGUUAACACUUCUGGUGUAAUUGGCAGUGCAACAGGGGUUGAAGAUUCACCCCGGUUAAAGUAAAAGGAUAAUAAUCUUUAUGUUCCUAAUCCGCAGGUAAGUAUCUUGGUUCCUUUCACUUUAACUAUCGAGAUUCAGCUUUUCUUUCAUGUUAUAUGUUGUAUACAACAAAAUAUUACCAUACUAUCGAGAAACCAUUGCCCUGUCGCUUAAAGUGUCAGUACAAUGCGAAGUGAGGGCAAAUUACCUCAUGAGUGUAGUGAUCAUUUUGGUGUGACACCUGCUGUAGAUCGUGAUGCGCAAAGUACUCCCAACACGAAGCGAUCAAAUCUUUGAAUCUCCACUUCAAAACUUGGAAAAAAAAAGUGACAAAAAGGAGAGAAGGGAAAGGCGUUUUCUACUUGCGCAACUAGGACUCCUCUCCAUGUACACUUGAGCGUUCGUUUUGUCCUUAUCUUCUUAUUCUUCUUGAGCAGUUGUAACUCUUCUUCUUCUACUUCUUCCGUUUCUCUUCUUUUGUUCUUCAAACAAUUACUUUUUUCCUACUCUGAGUAUGCAAAUUCUCUACCAUUUGUAACACAUCAUCUUACAUACUUUUGCUUCUCUUUUUUUGAUACUUCCUUUUUCCCCUUCUUGAUUAAUUGAAGAUGGAAUAUCAAUAUUGCAUCUGAAGUUGCUAUUAUGUCCAAUUUGAGUUGUUGAGCUAAUAUUGUUGUAGUGUACUGCAUGCUGAAAUUAGUAAUUUGAAUUGCGCUUUGAUAUUUUAGGUACUAACUUCAUAUAUGUGCUCUGCUUCUCGUGUUGCUUUUUUGCUUUUAAAAAUACUGAUUGAUAGAGAAAUGGAUGGAAACCCCACUUCAGCAAGAAUCGAUGGAAAUGCAGCUGCUGGCUUGAGUCAUAGACCUUGGCCUACACUGAUGAAUUUCCCCGAGUUCAAAGUUAUGAGUUGGUGUGAGUUGUCAAUCUUCUGAAAUCUAAAGUCAAUGUUGCUGCUUGUAAUUUAAUCUGAUGCAGACGUGCAAGAAAUGUGAACGAAAAUGUAGAUCCGAACAUCUUCCUACAUUUGUUAUCGUAAACUCGUAGUAUUUGGGGUCAGAUAUGUCAAUCGCUGUUUUGA
Molecule: non-coding RNA, 2924 nt
Organism: Nicotiana tabacum (common tobacco)
Lineage: Eukaryota; Viridiplantae; Streptophyta; Magnoliopsida; Solanales; Solanaceae
Source: RefSeq, a predicted model, not a curated record